Molecule: transfer RNA, 94 nt
Filed under: Holosporales bacterium
Lineage: Bacteria; Pseudomonadati; Pseudomonadota; Alphaproteobacteria; Holosporales
Description: tRNA-Ser
Rfam family: tRNA
About the family: Transfer RNA (tRNA) molecules are approximately 80 nucleotides in length. Their secondary structure includes four short double-helical elements and three loops (D, anti-codon, and T loops). Further hydrogen bonds mediate the characteristic L-shaped molecular structure. tRNAs have two regions of fundamental functional importance: the anti-codon, which is responsible for specific mRNA codon recognition, and the 3' end, to which the tRNAs corresponding amino acid is attached (by aminoacyl-tRNA synthetases). tRNAs cope with the degeneracy of the genetic code in two manners: having more than one tRNA (with a specific anti-codon) for a particular amino acid; and 'wobble' base-pairing, i.e. permitting non-standard base-pairing at the 3rd anti-codon position.
Source: RNAcentral
GGAGAGAUGGCCGAGAGGCUGAAGGCAACGGUUUGCUAAACCGUCAUACGGGCGUAAACCCGUAUCGGGGGUUCGAAUCCCCCUCUCUCCGCCA